Molecule: ribosomal RNA, 113 nt
Filed under: Orobdella brachyepididymis
Lineage: Eukaryota; Metazoa; Annelida; Clitellata; Hirudinida; Orobdellidae
Description: partial 16S ribosomal RNA
Source: RNAcentral
UAAAUACUUAUUAUUAAUUAUUUAUAUAAAAUUUAUUAUUAAUAUAAGAAAUCUUAUAAUAUAAUCUUUAAGUAUAGUAAUAGAAAAAUUUAAAUAUUAAAAAGUAAGCAUAU